GACGAACGCUGGCGGCGUGCCUAAUACAUGCAAGUCGAGCGGAAGUUGGAGAGCUUGCUCUUCAACUUUAGCGGCGGACGGGUGAGUAACACGUGGGCAACCUGCCCUGCAGAUCGGGAUAACUCCGGGAAACCGGUGCUAAUACCGAAUAGGUUUCGCCACCUCCUGGUGGCGUACGGAAAGACGGUUUCGGCUGUCACUGCAGGAUGGGCCCGCGGCGAAUUAGCUAGUUGGUGGGGUAACGGCCCACCAAGGCGACGAUGCGUAGCCGACCUGAGAGGGUGAUCGGCCACACUGGGACUGAGACACGGCCCAGACUCCUACGGGAGGCAGCAGUAGGGAAUCUUCCGCAAUGGACGAAAGUCUGACGGAGCAACGCCGCGUGAGUGACGAAGGUUUUCGGAUCGUAAAACUCUGUUGUGAGGGAAGAACAAGUACCACUUAACUACUGGUACCUUGACGGUACCUCACCAGAAAGCCACGGCUAACUACGUGCCAGCCGCCGCGGUAA
This 511-nucleotide ribosomal RNA is filed under the name uncultured bacterium. Its description in RNAcentral is "partial 16S ribosomal RNA". It matches the Rfam family "Bacterial small subunit ribosomal RNA", at positions 28 to 523 of the family's 1533-position model. The record is from RNAcentral.